GACGAACGCUGGCGGCGUGCUUAACACAUGCAAGUCGAACGGAAAGGCCCUGCUUGCAGGGUGCUCGAGUGGCGAACGGGUGAGUAACACGUGGGUGAUCUGCCCCUUACUUUGGGAUAAGCCUGGGAAACUGGGUCUAAUACUGGAUAGGACCAUGCUGUAGGUGGUGUGGUGGAAAGAUUAGUUUCGGUAAGGGAUGAGCUCGCGGCCUAUCAGCUUGUUGGUGGGGUAAUGGCCUACCAAGGCGUCGACGGGUAGCCGGCCGGAGAGGGUGGACGGCCACAUUGGGACUGAGAUACGGCCCAGACUCCUACGGGAGGCAGCAGUGGUGAAGAUUGCACAAUGGGCGCAAGCCUGAUGCAGCGACGCCGCGUGGGGGAUGACGGCCUUCGGGUUGUAAACUCCUUUCAGCCAUGACGAAGCCCUUGUGGUGACGGUAGUGGUAGAAGAAGCACCGGCUAACUACGUG
RNAcentral lists this ribosomal RNA (469 nucleotides) under uncultured bacterium. RNAcentral's name for it is "partial 16S ribosomal RNA". It matches the Rfam family "Bacterial small subunit ribosomal RNA", at positions 28 to 507 of the family's 1533-position model. The record is from RNAcentral.